This 368-nucleotide ribosomal RNA is filed under the name uncultured bacterium. Its description in RNAcentral is "bacterial SSU rRNA". It matches the Rfam family "Bacterial small subunit ribosomal RNA", at positions 29 to 387 of the family's 1533-position model. The record is from RNAcentral.
AACGAACGCUGGCGGCGCGUUUUAAGCAUGCAAGUCGAGCGGUAAGGUCCUUCGGACCCGACGAGCGGCGGACGGGUGGAGUAACACGUGGAUAAUACUGCCUCUCAGUCCGGGAGUAGCACAUGGAAACAAUGUGAUAAUACCGGAUACGAUGUGCCUGUCACAUGGCGGGUGGCAGGAAAGGUCCUGCGGGAUCGCUGGGAGAUGAGUCCGCGGCCCAUUAGCUUGUUGGCGGGGUAAAGGCCCACCCAAGGCGACGAUGGGUAGCCGGCCUGAGAGGGUGGACGGCCACAUUGGGGCUGAGACACGGCCCAGACUCCUACGGGAGGCAGCAGCUAAGAAUCUUCCACAAUGGACGAAAGUCUGAU